UAACUCUACGGAUUAUUUCUUAGUUGUUGUAGUCGCAGGUGCGUGGUGACGACUCAUAUUAGAGUCAAAAGACACACAAACGCAAAAAAGGGAAGGAGCACCGACUUGUCUAUGCAUGUCUGCGUAUCGGUGGGGUAGGAGUGCGCCAGUAAUAUCCGCCACAUACAAACACACGAACAUACAUAGACGCACACUGAAAAGUAGGUGCGUGCAAAUACUCUCAAUACGAUAGUAGCGCGCCCGGCAGAGGCAGCGACGCUAGACUGAUCGUUGAGAAAGAGAAACAGAAGACUCACCACCUACACGUGUGAGUCGUUCCACGGUCAGCGUGGCUAUAUCUAUUUAAUAUAGUUCGUGGGCGAAGUGCGUGGAGUGGGGAAGGGCUUUGUUCCGUAGUUGUGGCGCUGCUGUCGUCUCAACUUCAAAAGUCUCAAAGCUCUGCAGGUACGGAAGCCGGCAUUGUGCGCGCGCGUGCUUGCGUGCGUCUUUUCUGCUUGCUGUUGUUUUCAGACCCGGUGAGGGCGCUAGCGGCUGCGUCUUGGCUCUCCCUCUCCAGCUGCUCUGGGUGUUGGCCACUUUCCUUCUUCACCCCACCCCACGCCCUGCCCCAUCCGUUUCGUCUUGUUUGUCGCUUGUUUUCUUCUUACGUAUCUCUCCAUCUAUUUUUUUUUCGUGUAUGUGUGUGUGUGGGGGGGGGGGUAUCUCGUCUUUUAACGUGGCUCCAUCGGAUAACGUUCUGUUCCGUGCAAUCUCAGCCUCUCAGCAUCUCUAUUCCCUCCCGUUUUCUGCGAAUCUGCGCCGGCGUCAUCUCUGCCGUUACAGUGGAAGGCAGCUGUGUGGCGGCGCUAGCGGCCACUGAUUGCUGUGAGACAUGUUUGGAGUUUCCGACAAGGCGCCGCAGCCAGCGCAGGCCAGCGCUGCUACAUCACUUGGCUUUGCGGGCGCUGAGGCAUCAGCCCUAGCUGCAGCUAGCGGCAACACAGGAACGGUGGUGACGGCGGCUCGACCGUCGGGAAUAUCUAGUGCGCCGUCAGGACCCCUUCUGCGGCCACAGCCAGUGACGAGCAGCUCACCGCCAGUGUCAGGCGGGUUCGGAGUCGGGAAGCCAUCUGUCGCUGCUGGAGGUCCCGGUAAUGCUUCAGCUGCGGCCGCGCCUGCGUCAGCGCCGACAACCACGGCGCCACCGGCUAUCCCACCGUAUAUGGCGCUCCUCGCUAAGGUCUGCAGAGACGGAGUGGUCAGCGAUGCCUUCACCCACGAGAUCAAGGAGCGCUUCAGCGCUCCAAUGGAGGUGACCGUAGCACCGCCGGCUGCCGCACUGGGCCCCGCAACAGCGCCAGCUAUAGUGCCUCAGGCAAUUACAACAGCUCUGCAAACAGGCGCGCAGUGGCAGGCGACCGUGGCGCCGCAAUCCACGCUCGCUGGCGUUUCCAUCAUUAGCGCUGCCCCAGCUGCGGCGGCCAGCGCGGCCUACUCGACCUUGGCGCGCGCAGGCGAGCCCAAGCAGCAGCAAGAGCGACGGCGUCUGCAGGUGGAGCAAGCCUCAGAGUUCCUGCAGACGCUGCUGCUGUGCGACAGCGGCUACAACAAUAGCGAAGCCCCUCCGGUGGGCAACCCAGCCUCGUCACAGUGGACAGAGAGCGUGGAGGAGGUGAAGGGCUUGCACGCGGCGGUGGCGGCGGUGGCGGUGUCUGCCGCAAGCAAUCUCAUCUCCUUCCUAAAAACGAGCAUCACGGCGAACAGCCAGGCCAGCGAUAGCGAGGCAUCGUCGUCCAGUCUCUUCAUUGACAACCGGCGUAAGCGGUCAGACAAGAGUCUGCUGCUGCUCGCCGCGCAGUGCCUGUACGUCUUGUCGCGUCACUUUCAGUUGACGACGAGUGUGGUGAAGGAGGCGCUGGACCUGAUGGAUGCGCUGUACGUGCUCCUGAAGAACUCGUUGCAGAACCGAGUCACGCCGCUGUCAGCCUUCCGCGACAACGUCGACACGUGCUGCCUCAACACCCUCAUCUGGCUAUGCGUCUUUUCCAUAGUGAACAUGGUCGCCGUGUGGAAGAAGCUGCGCUCCUCCACAGGAGAGCUGCGUCUGAAUGAGCUGAUUCAAUCCAGUGUAGCCGUAUCCAUUGAGGCCACUGUCUCGGCGCUGCGCGGCAAGCUCCGUGAGAGUGUGCAGCCGCCGAACACUGGCGCUGGCGGAGGUCUCCACGGCGGCGCGCUGACGGAUGCCCACCGCGGCGGUGGAGGAGAACGGCUGCUUGGAGGCAGUGGUGGCAGUCGGGCCGCCUCGUCCGCUUCAGCGGCCGUGUACACGUGGCAGGUUCUCGUCGACAGCUAUCUGAGCGUAUUGGCCUUGGCAGAAGGCUGCCUCCUCCGCGCCAAAGGGAGUGAGCAAGGCUACGACAAGGCUCUGGACGCCUUCCUCGGCGCCCGCAUGGCAUCGCUGUCAUCGCCUCACGCGGCCGCGACCCCUGCAAGCGUUGCGGUUCAUCGCGGCAAGGUUACGAAGCGUAUGGUGGAGCUGGCACCGGUUCCCCGCACCCUGUCCAUCCCUCUUGGUCUUCUCUAUAUUGCUCCGUACGAGAUGAUGUCCUAUCUCUUUGAUGAGAUGUUGCCGCUGCUCCGGCAUCUCUCGGAGCUGGAAGUCGCCACACACCGGCGCUAUUGCGAGCAGCUCGAGGAGCUUCCACGCCUGCCCUCGUUCGUGCGCGGCGGCAGCGCCGUGAACCGUGGCGGAAGCGUGGCGGCGCUGGAGGCGUACUACGGCUACCAGCAGCGCGGCGCAGUGCAGCACAGCCGCCCAGAGGAGACGAACGGCGAGGAAGCGUGGCUGCUGAAGGUGACACGUACCGGGGCUGCUGGUGAGGUGGUCGGGGAGCCGUUCACGUCCGAGAUGGCCCACCUGCUCGAGGCACUCGCGAUUUGCCUGCAGCACCUGCCACCAGAGGUGCUGAACCCUGACCUAGACUCCGACUGUGCGGCGACCUUCUUCAUCUUCAAGAAUUUUGUGAAGCACAUGCGGCAAGUCUUCGCCACGCAGCGCAGCAACGCGUCCUCGGCCGCCGUGGGCACCGGCGGUGGCGACAGCAGCGGCGCGAUCGGCGGCUUCGGCGCCGUGUGGGAGAACUACACGCUGAAGUUGAUGACCAAGUUUCUAGAGGUGAUGGCGAUGAUCGGCCGAAACCCGCAGUACACGCAGCGAGUUGUCGUGCUCCUCACGGAUGCGCAGACAGAGUGUGGCGAGAUGCAGUGGCACAGCUUGGUGAGUCAGGCGCUCGAGUGCGCUGGCUUGAACAGUGGCGUGAUUGGCGCCUCCGGGGCGGUGGGGAGCGACGGCGGCGCAGCUUCAGUCACGGCGUUGGCAGCGGCGGCGCAGAAGUCCUCUGGCGGGUCUGCGACGAGUGGCGCCGCCGAUGGUGACGACAUGUACGCGUUGUUGUCGACAGUGCCAGGCGUGAACGGGGUGCCGCGCGCGUUGCACCGGCAGUUCACCCGCGCCUACGCGCGCAAGUGUCAGCGCCACUACAUCGCCAGCUUUUUUCUGCUGCUGCGCCAGCUGUUUGGUCAUCCCACGCUGCGGCCCAUCGUAAGCGCUCACAUGAACCUCGCGCUCGCCCUGGCGUUUCUCUCGGCACCGCAGCAAAGUCAGGUGAUGCUGGGCAGCACACUGUCACUCAUCUCGGCCCUCAUCACGAAUGCGGCAGACGCGCAGCUCGUCUGGUCAUUUCUGGAGCAGCGCCGCCUGUUGCAGCAGUCGUCGGUGUGCACACAGCAGCGUACGCACGCAGGCGGCGGUAGCGCCAGCCCCGCCGUGUACGACCGCUUCACCGCGUCGUCGUCCGCGUCCGCCACCGGACAACGCGAGCCGGCGGUACAUGAGGAGGCGCUUUCCAUCAUCGGGCACUGCCAGUGCGAAUGCACGCAAGGCACCUACGACAUCACCAUUGGCUUCCUCAACCUUGCCACGGCUCUGUUCCAGCACGACCAGCCGUCCAUGGCGGCGCUGCCGGUGUACAACACAGUCACACACUUCAUCUCGCAUGAAAUGCUGCGCGGCGUUCUGAAACGCAUGUUUGCGCGGCCGCAUGAGCGGUACACGGUGAUGGCGCUGGCGUCUGCUGCGCUGCGGCAGGCGCUGCUCGUGCGCUUUCGGAGCAGCGAGAGCGCGCGCACGGCGGUGCUGCCUUUCGCCACCAUCAUGGCCAUCAACAAGGCCCCGACAGACGUGGUGGGCGAGGUGCUGAAGUUAAUUCUUGACGCAAGCGAUGCGCCGUACGAGCUGCUCAGUCACCACCGCGCUGCCGUGCGCCAGGCAAUGCGGCUGCUCAUCACGGCGAUCCAGGCAGCGCGAGAACAAAAGAUUGAGCUUCUACUGUUUGACAACCGCACAACUCUCAACACUGAUCUCGCCGUGCGCGUGCUGGGCAUGUGCUCUCUGCACGACACCCUCAUGACGAAGACCACCCUGCAGCUCUUAGUGUUGUUCCCUUUUGAUACGGCCAACCAGGCGGCGCAUUACUGGGCCGGGCUCACUCACAAGUACGCCGCAGUCCUGGACUCCUUUGCACAGCUCCUGCAUCCGCUGAACACUGCGCCAGUGGUGGUGCAGGCGCCGCCAGAGCUGGCGCAGCUCGACUUUGAACCGUCAGAGCUCGUCCCCGGGUGGUCUGCCGCGCUGCUUACGGAGACCAAGUCGCUUCUGCUUGACCUUCUCAUGCAGCACGCAGACGUGACGGAGCCGUCUCUGACCGCGUGGAUGGGCGGCUUUUAUGGUGAGGAGCUCUCUCGCCGCGACCGGUGGGGACAUCCAUCCGUCUCCGCAGCCGCGCAGGCGGCAUCCGCGCAUGGCGGCGCGGCAGACGGGGACGGCACCGCCGGCGAGCCUCGGUGGUGGCGCACCACCCUCCUCACCUCCGUCGUUGAGGGUGCCUGCGACUGCGAGGUUGAGCACGCGCAUCCGGCACUGGCCGUCAAGUACGUGAAGCUGCUUUACCUCCUGCGAGCCAACCGCCUCUACGGCUCCCUUGUCAUUCGUCCGUUUCUGGAGUCGGUCUGCCAGACACUGUUCCUGCGACUGCAGCACUACCGAGCCAGUCAGUGCACCCCGGUCGCACUCAGCAAGUACGCUUACGUGCUCAAACUCCUGGCACUGGAGGCGUGCUACACGUAUCGUACAGCCCCAGAGAGCCUCCGGCUUGCGCAAAACACGACCAUCACGUCCAUCGCGGUCGAGGUGCUGCUGUCGCUCCUCCACCCCUUUGGCAGCGGCAGCGGCGCCUUGGCGGGAGGGGGCGCCGCCGCGCCGAGCGACUGUGAAUACACCGCCAUGGAGGACAGCGGUGUUCGCAGUCUCCACGAGGUAGACGGCUACAACAGCGACACACAUGCGAGCGCACCGUCCAAAAGGGACACAGACGAGGGCAAGGAGCGUCAGUGGAACGGGGAUGUGGCAGUCAUGUCUCGCGACGCCGCCGUUGACAUUACGAGUUGGCUGCCACAGGCGCUCCAAGUGCUUCCGACUUUCCCAGAGAAGCUGCCCGCCGUCGCUGGAGGGCUGAGCCACCUGGUGCCCGCUGCGACAGACGGCGUCGUGCAGUAUGACAUGACGAGCCUUUAUAGCGCAAUCCAGGCGGAGCAGGCGCGCGCAAACAAGCCACCCAUGACCAUGUCUGAGCUGCGCGACCGGCUGCGCCCUUUCAUUGCCGCGAACGACUGUUUUUUCUCCUACGCGGCAGGCGUAAGCUUUGUGGAGGGCUGGUGCCAGCUGGUGAGUGUGUCGUGCUCUGUCGUGAAGGGCCUGUCGGUGUCACGACUGCGCUCGUUUGCCUUGUGCAUUCUACGAGGGCUGGACGCCACGACGCGGCUUACCGCAGCAGCCCAGGAGCAAGUGGCGGUUCGCUUGUGCCACUGCCUGUCCACCGUCAUGGCACACCUCCGGCAGACGGUCUGUGCGUCGGUGGCGCUGUCGCUCACGGUGCCGCAGAACGCAGAAGCGGAGGCGGCCUUGUACAACCAGUGCAGCGGGGACUAUCCUGGAGUGCAGGGAAGCGGCUGUGCACCGCUUGAUGCGGCACGCGCGACGUCGUAUCUACACGGCAGGUAUGAGCGUCGCACCGUACCACGCGUGUCAGCUCAGCCCAUGACGGUCACGACAGUGCCCGCCCAUGGCCGUGGCGGGGAGGGAGAGGUCAUAAUCGGGAAGCGCCGGCCGCGCGACGAGAGCCGCCACGUCACGCGUCAACAUUGGAGUGGUCAAGGUGGAGCGAUGCGAGGAAACGCGAGUGUCGGUAUCGGCAAGCCGUUCGCCACCCACGCGGGCGAGCUCACUAACUUCUUUAGCGCCGCAAACCGUUCGCAGCUGGCGCAGGCGCUGCUGCAGCAGCGCGGAGCAGAGCGCAGCGGUGCAGAGUCUGCUUCGGUGGCGGGUGAGCAGAGUACCACGCGCGCGUCUUGGAGUAGGUCGGGGGUGGCUGAUGCAACCUUGCUGUUGGAGCCGUUGGUGCGCGCGCUUGUGCAUUGGGGAACUCGCAUCGCGACGAUACGGGCAGAGUUGUACCUCAGUCUUCUGUGCCUCGCCGAGACACCCGGUGUCAACCUUGACGACGUGGCUGUGUGGCGUUUUCAGAGGGCGCUGCUUGACGUGGUGUGCACAGACAUCUGUAGCAGCAGCGGCUCGAGCGCCGGCGGACGCGGUGAGAGCUGCCGCAGUGAGAGCACGGUCGCCGUGCAGAGACACAAUGGCCUCAACGGCGCUGCGCCGGCGAACGGCAGCGACAGCGGCGCAGCCGCACUCCCGUUGCAGGCGCAGCAGGCGGUGGCGCUGCUGGUUGCACUGCUGCAGGCCUCCGCACCGAUUCGCGACGAGUUCUGCAACCCGGACGCCGGAAGCGGUGAUGGGCUCGGCAAGUGGGCGUUGCGGUGCGCAACGGCGCUUCUCCAGAGCGCCGACCAUGCAGUGUGUAACUUCUUUGCCAGCAACGGCGCGCAAGUGGGCGCACUGCUGUGGCACCUACGCAGCGCCUUUGACGUCGUCUCCGUCAUCUCCCUCAGUCACAGCUCGCAGGUGCUGCACAGCGGCCUGCUCCACUCGUGCCUCUCGAUGCGGGCAUGGCAGUACAGUACGCUGGUGGUGUUGGGCUACUCUCAGGCGAAUCCCUCCUUCGACGGGGUCCCGAGCAGGUCGCUCGUGGAGCAGAACAAGGAGGUGCUGCAGCACCUUCUGCUGGGUGUGGUGCGGUGGGUGAACCUGCUCCUCUCCUCCCUCGGCGACGCGGCGACGCUCUUGUACGACGUGCAAAAGUUCAUCCGUGAGAACCGGCAGCUGAUUGACCACGUCUUCAUCGCUCCGGCGGCCGUCAGCAGCACCAUCGCUGGAUCGGCGCGUCUCAGCGCGUCGCACCUGAAGCUGUGCGCGGAGCUAUCUGACUGCCUGCGCGCCCUCUCCUGCUCUGUGCUGGCGGUGGACUGCCGCAGUCUCGUUGAUGGCAUGGCGCUGGCCGAGUUGCUGAGUAUGCUGAGCAGCGACGACGUGUGGCGCCGCGGUCCGACAGAGCUGUACGGCUUCGCAGACGUCGACAGCGGGGAGGGCGGCUUGGGUGGUGCCGCUGGAGGCGCAUCCGUGGCCUCGCCAGCCGCGGCAGGAGCAGCGGUCCCAGAUCGAAACGACGACAACGGCAGAGAGGAUGUGAAGGGUGUUCUGGCAAAGUUGGCCGCGACGACUGGCACCGCCGCAGCGCACGCCGUCUCCGCGGCCGAACGCGGGCGCGAUGUCGUGGCGCUGACGGUGCGCAAUCUUGCCCAUCUGUUGCUUAACACCGAGUACGGACAGCGCAGCAGCGAGGAUGUCGGCGUCUUCAUCCCCUACGCCGACAGCACGCCGAUGCUCCGCCACUCUGCUGAGAAGCGGCAACUCGUCGCGAAAAUCGUCCGUCACGUCGCUCAGUCCCUAGUGCAGACAAGCACUUCAGAGGUGCGAGAGUUCCGCCUUGAGUGCUACCUGUACGCGCUGCACGCCAUGGUCUGCCUGCUGCACUCCUUUGUCCUUCCCAUGACACCCGCAGGGCCAUCGCAGAAGCAGUCGUCGUACCCCACCAGCCUGCCGGAAGAUUUUGUGCGCUAUCUAUCCGAGCUCCCGCUCGGCGAGUUCGCCGACACCCUUCGGCAGGCACAAGAAGCCGUCUAUCAGCUGCGCGAAUUCAACACCGACUACCGUGGCGGGCUUCGCGCGAGUCGGGUGGCCGCAAACGCCUGGGUCAUUGGUGCCUCCUCUGCUGGGCCGCACACGCUCAGCAACAGCGCGCUCGUUGCCAAUGCCAGCGGCGCUGCCAGCACCGCAGAUCAGAGAGCGACCGUGUCGUCUACACCUUCCAACGCGCCAUCCUCUCCGCCGGCAACAGUACAUGGUGGGGGCGGCAUCUCCGACGCCUUCAACAUGCCAUCGACGCCGGGAUUGUUGCCUGCAGCUGAUGGUCGCUUGGGCGGGCGCGACAUUGAGACGGGGCCGCAGUCCUCAGCUGCGGCGGAGCUCGCCCCGGCGUCGUCUGCUCGGCACAAGUCGCAUUCCGGCGGCCCGCUUUCCUCGACCGCGGCAAGUCACAGUGGAGAAACUGGACAGGACCCGAACACGACGGUGGCGUUCGACCUCGAUGGGUCCUCUUCCCGUCCCCCGCAUGCGCAGGGACAGAAUGACGCGAGUGCUCGUCCCGGUGCGGCGUCGGCUGCGAGCAACAUCCAGGCUCCCCUACUGCCCGCCAUGGCAGAUGGGGCGAAGCUCGACCCGGACGUUACACUCUGGGAGCUGCUGCCGGAGCGCGGUGGCGCAUAUGAGGGUGAAUGGACCCGGCUGUACGACUCGGCUACGGCGCACGAUGUCCGGGGCACGGUCGUGGGCGGUGGCAUGGACUCUGUUGGCAUACACAGUGCGCCACUGCAGUGGAAGGACGUGCUGAACGUCGAAAACGAAGUGCGGCAGGUGAAGAUCGCGAUCGCCAACGCGCUUCGGGCAACGACUGGGGCAAUGAGUAUCGUGCGAAAGCACGCGUAGAGGGCGUGUCUCACCCGUGGCGAUACCGUAGGUAGGGGGGAUCAUCUGUGUAUGUGCAUAUGUGUGUGUGUGUGUGGGUUUGGUCUUUGUAUGGUGAAGAUUACCCUACGCCGCCAUGGUAUGUGUUUUAUGGCUUGGCAUGCUGAAUACCCUACUUCGCUUUCCGUCAGCCAAGGCUGGGCGGCCGCUAUUGGGGAUCCCGGCGGUUGGACGCAAACGAGCAGUGCGGGCAGAGAGCCAAGGACGGCAGCGGAAUGACCCCUCACCCACCCACCCCGGGCCCUCUCCCCCUCGCGGAGCGUUACUUUGUUUCGUAUAUCUAUAUGUGUGUGUUUGUGUGUUAUAUCAGUAUUGUUGUCGCGGCAGUGGGGGUGGUUGGCCGCUCUCUUUCUCUCUCUCUCUCUCUCUCGUGAUAACGUAGUAAAGCGUCUCCAUAGAGUCCACCUCUCGC
RNAcentral lists this unclassified non-coding RNA (9488 nucleotides) under Leishmania donovani. RNAcentral's name for it is "gene:LdHU3.34.2240(CDS-product:hypothetical_prote in_conserved)". The record is from RNAcentral. Lineage: Eukaryota; Euglenozoa; Kinetoplastea; Trypanosomatida; Trypanosomatidae.